This 301-nucleotide ribosomal RNA is filed under the name uncultured bacterium. RNAcentral describes it as "partial 16S ribosomal RNA". It matches the Rfam family "Bacterial small subunit ribosomal RNA", at positions 509 to 807 of the family's 1533-position model. The record is from RNAcentral.
CAGUAGCCGCGGUAAUACGUAGGUGGCAAGCGUUGCCCGGAAUUAUUGGGCGUAAAGGGCUCGCAGGCGGUUUCUUAAGUCUGAUGUGAAAGCCCCCGGCUCAACCGGGGAGGGUCAUUGGAAACUGGGAAACUUGAGUGCAGAAGAGGAGAGUGGAAUUCCACGUGUAGCGGUGAAAUGCGUAGAGAUGUGGAGGAUCACCAGUGGCGAAGGCGACUCUCUGGUCUGUAACUGACGCUGAGGAGCGAAAGCGUGGGGAGCGAACAGGAUUAGAUACCCCCGUAGUCCCUGUCUCUUAUAC